GGGAGGUAGUGACAAUAAAUAACAAUAUGGGGCCUUUACGGGUCUCGUAAUUGGAAUGAGUACAAUUUAAAUCUCUUAACGAGGAACAAUUGGAGGGCAAGUCUGGUGCCAGCAGCCGCGGUAAUUCCAGCUCCAAUAGCGUAUAUUAAAGUUGUUGCAGUUAAAAAGCUCGUAGUUGAAUUUCGGGAUCUAUCCGUCGGUCGGGCCUCACGGUCCGCACUGGUGUGAUGGAUUCCUACCUUCUGAAUAACCGGUAUGCCAUUAAUUUGAUGUGCCGGGGAAGCAGAACCAUUACCUUGAAAAAUUAGAGUGCUCAAAGCGGGCCUAUGCCUGAAUACAUUAGCAUGGAAUAAUAAAAUAGGACGGCAUGGUUCUAUUUUGUUGGUUUCUAGGAUCACCGUAAUGAUUAAUAGGGAUAGUUGGG
This 424-nucleotide ribosomal RNA is filed under the name uncultured Acaulosporaceae. Its description in RNAcentral is "SSU rRNA". It matches the Rfam family "Eukaryotic small subunit ribosomal RNA", at positions 459 to 886 of the family's 1831-position model. Lineage: Eukaryota; Fungi; Glomeromycota; Glomeromycetes; Diversisporales; Acaulosporaceae. The record is from RNAcentral.